This 541-nucleotide ribosomal RNA is filed under the name uncultured bacterium. RNAcentral describes it as "bacterial SSU rRNA". It matches the Rfam family "Bacterial small subunit ribosomal RNA", at positions 28 to 573 of the family's 1533-position model. The record is from RNAcentral.
AACAACGCUGGCGGCGUGCUUACACAUGCAAGUCGAGUGCGCGUGCCGUAGCAAUACGGUAUGGCGCACGGCGCACGGGUGCGUAACACGUGGGCAAUCUGCCCUCCGGUGGGGAAUAACCCCGCGAAAGCGGGGCUAAUUCCGCAUAACAUUCCCUGGACUUCGGUUCGGGGAUUCAAAGCAGCAAUGCGCCGGAGGAGGAGCCCGCGCCCGAUUAGCUAGUUGGUGAGGUAACGGCUCACCAAGGCAAUGAUCGGUAGCUGGUCUGAGAGGAUGGCCAGCCACACUGGAACUGAGACACGGUCCAGACUCCUACGGGAGGCAGCAGUGGGGAAUCUUGCGCAAUGGGCGAAAGCCUGACGCAGCGACGCCGCGUGGGGGAUGAAGCUUUUCGGAGUGUAAACCCCUUUCGACCGGGACGAAUGCCCGCAAGGGAGUGACGGUACCGGUAGAAGAAGCCCCGGCUAACUACGUGCCAGCAGCCGCGGUAAGACGUAGGGGGCCAGCGUUGUUCGGAAUUACUGGGUGUAAAGGGUUCGUA